Molecule: ribosomal RNA, 460 nt
Filed under: uncultured Sphingobacteriales bacterium
Lineage: Bacteria; Pseudomonadati; Bacteroidota; Sphingobacteriia; Sphingobacteriales
Description: bacterial SSU rRNA
Rfam family: Bacterial small subunit ribosomal RNA
Source: RNAcentral
CCUACGGGUGGCAGCAGUAAGGAAUAUUGGACAAUGGGCGCAAGCCUGAUCCAGCCAUGCCGCGUGCAGGAUUAAGGCCCUAUGGGUUGUAAACUGCUUUUAGUAGGGAAAAAACCCUCGUUCGUGAACGAGGCUGAUGGUACCUACAGAAUAAGGAUCGGCUAACUCCGUGCCAGCAGCCGCGGUAAUACGGAGGAUCCAAGCGUUAUCCGGAUUUAUUGGGUUUAAAGGGUGCGUAGGUGGAUUAAUAAGUCAGUGGUGAAAGCCUGCAGCUUAACUGUAGAACUGCCAUUGAUACUGUUAGUCUUGAAUGUAGUUGAGGUGGGCGGAAUAUGACAUGUAGCGGUGAAAUGCUUAGAUAUGUCAUAGAACACCGAUUGCGAAGGCAGCUCACUAAGCUAUAAUUGACACUGAGGCACGAAAGCGUGGGGAGCAAACAGGAUUAGAUACCCCAGUAGUC